This 245-nucleotide long non-coding RNA is filed under the name Callithrix jacchus (white-tufted-ear marmoset). Its description in RNAcentral is "lncRNA (ENSCJAG00000075404.1)". Lineage: Eukaryota; Metazoa; Chordata; Mammalia; Primates; Cebidae. The record is from RNAcentral.
UUUGGGGUACAUGAGCAGAGCUGCUAUUUCACUUUUUUAAGGGAAGAAAAUAAAGUUUGAAAAAGUUUCCACUCGGAGUUCCACCCAGUAAUCAAUGGUGAGGUGUGAAACCUGGGCUUCCCGACGUGCUAUGCGGUGCUCUCCAUUUUAAUACGGCUGCCUGAGGAACCAGCUGGCUGGAAGAGUGGCUGUGGGCGGUUCACGGCCAGACUGCGAUGGUGGCGAGGCACGGUGACUGGGACGCG